This 449-nucleotide ribosomal RNA is filed under the name uncultured bacterium. RNAcentral describes it as "partial 16S ribosomal RNA". It matches the Rfam family "Bacterial small subunit ribosomal RNA", at positions 29 to 523 of the family's 1533-position model. The record is from RNAcentral.
AGCGAACGCUGGCGGCAGGCCUAACACAUGCAAGUCGAACGGACCCUUCGGGGUUAGUGGCGGACGGGUGAGUAACACGUGGGAACGUGCCUUUAGGUUCGGAAUAGCUCCUGGAAACGGGUGGUAAUGCCGAAUGUGCCCUUCGGGGGAAAGAUUUAUCGCCUUUAGAGCGGCCCGCGCCUGAUUAGCUAGUUGGUGAGGUAACGGCUCACCAAGGCGACGAUCAGUAGCUGGUCUGAUAGGAUGACCAGCCACACUGGGACUGAGACACGGCCCUGACUCCUACGGGAGGCAGCAGUGGGGAAUCUUGCGCAAUGGGCGAAAGCCUGACGCAGCCAUGCCGCGUGAAUGAUGAAGGUCUUAGGAUUGUAAAAUUCUUUCACCGGGGACGAUAAUGACGGUACCCGGAGAAGAAGCCCCGGCUAACUUCGUGCCAGCCGCCGCGGUAA